AUACCCGCUGAACUUAAGCAUAUCAAUAAGCGGAGGAAAAGAAACCAACAGGGAUUGCCUCAGUAACGGCGAGUGAAGCGGCAACAGCUCAAAUUUGAAACCUGGCGCUUGCGUCCGGAUUGUAAUUUGCAGAGGAUGCUUCUGGGCAGCGGCCGCUCUAAGUUCCUUGGAACAGGACGUCAUAGAGGGUGAGAAUCCCGUAUGUGACCGGCGCGCACCCUCCACGUAGCUCCUUCGACGAGUCGAGUUGUUUGGGAAUGCAGCUCUAAAUGGGUGGUAAAUUCCAUCUAAAGCUAAAUAUUGGCCCGAGACCGAUAGCGCACAAGUAGAGUGAUCGAAAGAUGAAAAGCACUUUGGAAAGAGAGUUAAAAAGCACGUGAAAUUGUUGAAAGGGAAGCGCUUCCCACCAGACUCCGCGGCGGUGUUCCGCCGGCCUUCUGGCCGGUCUACUCGCCGCCGUGGGGCCAGCAUCGUCUGGGGCCGUCGGAUAAGACCGUAGGAAUGUAGCUCAUUGAGUGUUAUAGCCUGCGGUGAUGCGACGCGCCCCGGGCGAGGUCCGCGCUUCGGCAAGGAUGCUGGCGUAAUGGUGGGCAGCGGCCCGUCUUGAAACACGGACCAAGGAGUCUAACAUCUAUGCGAGUGUUCGGGUGUCAAACCCCUACGCGUAAUGAAAGUGAACGGAGGUGGGAGCUUCGGCGCACCAUCGACCGAUCCUGAUGUCCUCGGAUGGAUUUGAGUAAGAGCAUAGCUGUUGGGACCCGAAAGAUGGUGAACUAUGCCUGAAUAGGGUGAAGCCAGAGGAAACUCUGGUGGAGACUCGCAGCGGUUCUGACGUGCAAAUCGAUCGUCAAAUUUGGGCAUAGGGGCGAAAGACUAAUCGAACCAUCUAGUAGCUGGUUCCUGCCGAAGUU
RNAcentral lists this ribosomal RNA (911 nucleotides) under Zasmidium sp. WZ-2015. RNAcentral describes it as "eukaryotic LSU rRNA". It matches the Rfam family "Eukaryotic large subunit ribosomal RNA", at positions 21 to 968 of the family's 3401-position model. The record is from RNAcentral. Lineage: Eukaryota; Fungi; Ascomycota; Dothideomycetes; Mycosphaerellales; Mycosphaerellaceae.